This is a small nuclear RNA of Suncus etruscus (white-toothed pygmy shrew), 163 nucleotides long. RefSeq annotates it as U1 spliceosomal RNA. The record is from RefSeq and is a predicted model, not a curated record. The transcript has a single exon. NCBI's taxonomy places the organism in Eukaryota, Metazoa, Chordata, Mammalia, Eulipotyphla, Soricidae.
AUACUUACCUGGCAGGGCGAUUCCAUGAUCAGGAAGGUGUUUUCCCCAGGGUGAGGUUCGCCCAUUGCACUAUGGGUGUGCUGACCCCUGCGAUUUCCCCAAAUGUGGGAAACGAGACUGUACAAUUUGUGAUUGUGGGGGACUGCGUGCGAGCUUUCCCCUG